UACGUAGGGAGCAAGCGUUGUCCGGAAUCAUUGGGCGUAAAGCGCGCGUAGGCGGCCCCGUAAGUCCGCUGUGAAAGUCAAAGGCUCAACCUUUGAAAGCCGGUGGAUACUGUGGGGCUAGAGUACGGAAGAGGCGAGUGGAAUUCCUGGUGUAGCGGUGGAAUGCGCAGAUAUCAGGAGGAACACCAAUAGCGAAGGCAGCUCGCUGGGACGUCACUGACGCUGAGGCGCGAAAGCGUGGGGAGCGAACAGG
This 253-nucleotide ribosomal RNA is filed under the name uncultured bacterium. RNAcentral describes it as "partial 16S ribosomal RNA". It matches the Rfam family "Bacterial small subunit ribosomal RNA", at positions 524 to 776 of the family's 1533-position model. The record is from RNAcentral.